GAUUUUUUGGGCCCCAGAGGGCGUGAACACAGGAAGGUAAACCCCACUGGCUGAGCCCACAGUGUGCUGAGCAGGUGGGGGUGUGUUCUAGACUGAUCACAUCCUCACAUUCUCAGGACAACCUUGGGAGAGGUGCUAUUGUUUCCACUUGGCAGCCGAAGAAUUGAGGCUCAGAGUGGUGAAGUGAUUUGGCCAAGGCCACACAGCAAGGAGACGGCAGAGUGGGGACUGCGUGGCUGGGGGUCUGUCUGACUCUAAAGACAGUGUGUAUUUUUCUGGCACUAUUAACACCCCAUGGGGGACCCAGCUCCUAGCAGGUACGUGGAGCUGCCUGUGGAGAGGUUGGUGCAGCGGGUGGCAUUGGCUGCGGGAGGCCUCUGAAGACAUACCCAUUCCUUUUCUUCUGAGCCCGCAGAAGACAACCCUGCCUAGCUUCUUUGCAGCUACGUGGAGACAUGUGACUAGUUUGGCCAAUGGGAUGUGAGAAGAGAUGAUGAAACUCGGAGGAGAACUUGUGAGAUCGCCGUGACUGCUUUUCCCCUGCCACAGUGGCUAAGAGGAUAAGGCUAUCAAGGGUGGAGCCUCUCUAGGCCUGGGUUCCUGGGUGCCUGUGUGGAGCCGAGACCCCAGGCUAACUCACAAUGAACACGCCGUGUGAGGAAGACGUAAAGCUUUAUGUAUUAAGCCACUGGAGCUUAGGGUUUAAUUUGUUACUGUGGUGUAGCCUACCCUAUUCUAACCAAUACAAGGAUCUUUGGAUGACUCUCCUCCAGGAAUUCAUAUACAAAAACAUCCUCCCUGCAUGAGAACUCCCUAUAUGGUUCCAGCAGUAUCUCUCACCUGCAAUAGUGACUAAAGUCAAGACUCUCUGCUGGCUAUUUCGUUUCUACUGAACUAGAAUAUAAAUUUGAGCAGGACAUGGACCUUUUCAAUCUUGCCUACCCUCAUAUCCCAGUAACAAGUGGCUAGCAGAGUACCUGACACAUCAUGGAUGCUCAAAAAAUAUUUCUUGACUAACUGGAUGAAUAAAUGAGUGAAUCAUCAUCAGGAUUGCUGCUCGUGAACCCCUCCUCUUGCAGCUACCUGCCUUUGAAUUUGCCCUCAGGCUUCCUAGCUAGUUUCUUCUUUAGCCUUUCUGACCCAUCGUUCCUUCCGUAGAGUUCAAGACAACACUGCUCCUCCUAUGAACCAAAAGAAAGUGCCAGCGGCUGUUGGUGACGAAGCUCUUCUUUUCUAGGCAAUAAAGCCCCCUCCAGUUGUAGCAGUUUUCUCUGGAAUGGAAUUCUCCAACUCAUGACUCUCCAACUUAUGAUGGGAAACAGAGCCCACCUCCCACUCAAGAAAAAAACAAUGCUUGCAGCACUAUUCUCAAUUGCAAAGACAUGGAAUCAACCCAAAUGCCCAUCAGUGAUAGACUGGAUAAAGAAAAUGUGGUACAUAUACACCAUGGAAUAAUAUGCAGUCAUAAAAAGGAGGAAUGGGAUCACGUCCUUUACAGGGACAUGGAUGAAGCUGGAAGCCAUUAUCCUCAGCAAACUAAUGCAGGAACAGAAAACCAAACAUCACACGUUCUCACUUAUAAGUCGGAGCUGAACAAUGAGAACACAUGGACACAGGGAGGAGAUCAACACACUCUGGGGUCUGUUGGGGGACGGGAAGAAAGCAUCAGGAAAGAUAGCUAAUGCAUGCUAUGCUUAUUACCUAGGUGAUGGGUUGAUAGGUGCAGCAAACCACCAUGGCACACGUUUACCUAUGUAACAAACCUGUGUGUCCUGCACAUGUACCCCAGAACUUAAAAUAAAAAAAAAAAGGCAAGGCUGAGUACUCCCUUUCCCAGGCUCCCUUGCAGCUAGGAUGUGGGUGUGUGAGCAGGAGGGUGUGCAAGGCUGGCAGCUCUCCCCAACAGUCAGGGUUUGAGUUUGGGGGUGGGGCAGUGCUG
This 1939-nucleotide long non-coding RNA is filed under the name Homo sapiens (human). RNAcentral's name for it is "HSALNT0004977". The record is from RNAcentral. Lineage: Eukaryota; Metazoa; Chordata; Mammalia; Primates; Hominidae.